This 433-nucleotide ribosomal RNA is filed under the name uncultured bacterium. RNAcentral describes it as "partial 16S ribosomal RNA". It matches the Rfam family "Bacterial small subunit ribosomal RNA", at positions 29 to 507 of the family's 1533-position model. The record is from RNAcentral.
AACGAACGCUGGCGGCAUGCCUAACACAUGCAAGUCGAACGAUCCCUUCGGGGAUAGUGGCGCACGGGUGCGUAACGCGUGGGAACCUGCCCUUAGGUUCGGAAUAACUCAGAGAAAUUUGAGCUAAUACCGGAUAAUGUCUUCGGACCAAAGAUUUAUCGCCUUUGGAUGGGCCCGCGUUGGAUUAGCUAGUUGGUGGUGUAAAGGCCUACCAAGGCGACGAUCCAUAGCUGGUCUGAGAGGAUGAUCAGCCACACUGGGAAUGAGACACGGCCCAGACUCCUACGGGAGGCAGCAGUGGGGAAUAUUGGACAAUGGGCGAAAGCCUGAUCCAGCAAUGCCGCGUGAGUGAUGAAGGCCUUAGGGUUGUAAAGCUCUUUUACCCGGGAUGAUAAUGACAGUACCGGGAGAAUAAGCCCCGGCUAACUCCGUG